This is a long non-coding RNA of Oncorhynchus nerka (sockeye salmon), 450 nucleotides long. RefSeq lists it as uncharacterized. The transcript has 3 exons. Lineage: Eukaryota; Metazoa; Chordata; Actinopteri; Salmoniformes; Salmonidae. The record is from RefSeq and is a predicted model, not a curated record.
CAAUUGAAAGCAUCCUGUCGGGCUGUAUCACCGCCUGGUUUGGCAACUGCACCGCCUGCAACUGCAAGGCUCUCCAGAGGGUGGUGCGGACUGCCCAACGCGUUACCUGGGGCAAACUACCCGUCCUCCAGGACACCUACAGCACCCGAUGUCACAGGAAGGCCAAAAGGAUCAUCAUGGACAUCAACCACCUGAGCCACUGCCUGUUCACCCCGCUAUCAUCCAGAAGGCAAGGUAGGCUAGUUGAGAACAAGUUCUCAUUUGCAACUGCGACCUGGCCAAGAUAAAGCAAAGCAGUGUGAACAGACAACAACACUGUAAGGGUUUUCCUCCGCUUCGUCUGAAGAGAAGGUGUAGCAGGGAUCGGACCAAAACACAGCGUGCCAAACGUGACGAACAAAACGGAGCGAUUUCUCCUACACAAAGAAAACAUCCGAAGUUCUUCAAAGG